This 253-nucleotide ribosomal RNA is filed under the name uncultured bacterium. RNAcentral describes it as "partial 16S ribosomal RNA". It matches the Rfam family "Bacterial small subunit ribosomal RNA", at positions 524 to 776 of the family's 1533-position model. The record is from RNAcentral.
UACGGAGGAUGCAAGCGUUAUCCGGAAUGAUUGGGCGUAAAGCGUCCGCAGGUGGCUGUGUAAGUCUGCUGUCAAAGAGCAAAGCUCAACUUUGUAAAGGCAGUGGAAACUACACGGCUAGAGUGCGUUCGGGGCAGAGGGAAUUCCUGGUGUAGCGGUGAAAUGCGUAGAGAUCAGGAGGAACACCCGUGGCGAAGGCGGCCCUCUGGCUCGACCCUGACGCUGAGGCGCGAAAGCGUGGGGAGCGAACGGG